UACGAAGGGGGCUAGCGUUGUUCGGAAUUACUGGGCGUAAAGCGCACGUAGGCGGAUUGUUUAGUUAGGGGUGAAAUCCCAGGGCUCAACCCUGGAACUGCCUCUAAUACUGGCGAUCUAGAGUCCGAGAGAGGUGAGUGGAAUUCCGAGUGUAGAGGUGAAAUUCGUAGAUAUUCGGAGGAACACCAGUGGCGAAGGCGGCUCACUGGUCCAUUACUGACGCUGAGGUGCGAAAGCGUGGGGAGCAAACAGG
This 253-nucleotide ribosomal RNA is filed under the name uncultured bacterium. RNAcentral's name for it is "partial 16S ribosomal RNA". It matches the Rfam family "Bacterial small subunit ribosomal RNA", at positions 524 to 776 of the family's 1533-position model. The record is from RNAcentral.